CUAUUAUGACCACUCUAUGCAAAGAUGAGACUCUCACGAACACGAUGGUGUUAUCAAUUGGAUUGCUAAUAUACUUGACCAAUUUACAGUACACUUGAUGUUGCAUUGUGUUGUUGUUUAAGAAAAUAUUCAAUUAAUUGUUGUUGAAUAUGGUUUGUUUACUAUAAUUUCACACAGGUUUGCGAUAAGAUAUGCUUUCCAAUAAAUGUGCUGAAGUGUGCACUAUUGCAGACAGUGUAAUCAGCCAUGCUCUGCUAUUAUGAUGACUAUACUAUAUCUGACCACUGUCAUUUACCAAAGCUCAUGACUAGACAGCCCUAUUCUCAUUCACUAAGUGAUGUCACAGCAGGUCAAUGUUGGUUGGCUGAAAUCUCAUCUGACACGGUUUAAAAGCAGAGAUAGAUCUCUGCACUCCAUAUUCCUCAUCUAUACUGGUAUCACCAAAGGUUCUCCUUUGAAAAUGAAGAUCACCAUUAUGUGCCUUUGUUUGGCCAGCUCAAUAUCUGCUGCUCCAGUAAGUUUGAAAAAAUGGGCAAGGAAAACUUUACUACUAUAUUUCUUAAGAGUAGGAAUUUGAAAACGCAUAGAAAGUGGAUACGCAAGGGUGCGCGUCACAAUGGAAAAAAUGUAAACACAACUGGAGACUCCCUCGUCGUUUUUGGAGACAGGUUAUUGACAUGGCAUCGCUACGGUAUCAAGUUUAUAAGCAAUUGUUAACUACCUGUUAACACUUUGAACUGGCUAGCUAAUCAUCUUGACUAACUGUGGGGCAAAACAAUUCACUUAGCCUAUCACCUUUUGAUAUUCUAUGACGUCUUCACUUUCCAAGCGUAUCAUGAUCUAUUUCCAGAAUCUAGACUUAAAAUAACUUAGUUGGGUGUUAAGAGUCCAGAGCACAUUAUUCACAUCUCAUUUUCCACUGAGUGUCUGUCAACAGUCUGUUAUUUCUUUAAAUUGACUAUAGCUUCGUCAAAAUUGUGAUUAUUUAGUAUUUGUUCAAUAUUCACAGCGUCAACCUUACUUCAAUUACUUGCCCCACUAUGGGGAUCCAAGGCAAUCAGGACCACCCACACAAGUAAGAACACAUGCAUAUUGUAAUAUUCUACUGCAUUCUGUUGGUCACCUUCAUCAUUUGCCUAUUUAAUUCAGACUGUGAUGAGUAAUCAUCUUGAACUUUAGCAGUUACACUGGAGUUUUGUCUUAAUUACAUAGUAUAGUAAUUUUAUUUAUUUGUAAUGUGUAACUGUUUUGUUCAUUUUACUUUAUAUUACAGGUGUUUCCACAGAGAUUCCCUGGAUGGUCUACUGGUGGCCAGAUCAAUGGACCAGUAAAUACCACUAAAAUACCACUACUUCACCUUCUUUAAUAUAUCAACCAAAAAAUAUAUCAACCAUCCUCCACAUUGAACAUUCCUUUUAACUUUCCCCUUUCUUUUCUUUCAGCAGUCCUAUCCCUCUCAAGCCUUCAUCAAAUAUUCCCUACCUAAGGCCCCAGGAAGAAAGAGUGUAGAAAUUGUAAGUGUUGUCUCAAGUUGAGUUACUUAUCCCUCCUCAGAAUUAUAGGUGUUGUAGUAUGUGAAGAAAUCUCUCUCUUCAAUUACAGCUAUAUGAAAUUUGAUAGGCACUAUUUAAGUUCAGUUGACUCAUGACUUUAAGUGGCUAAAGUUAGGACAUGGUACAUUCCAAGUUGCACAGCAGGAAAUGAGUGUUGUUAUACUGUAUGUGUUUUGUAAGAGAACCCAUCCAUUUAAUAUCUUACUCAAGCACAGAUCACAUUGAAUGUAUUUUAUCUAUACUGCAGUAGUUUAAUGACUGUUUCUCUGUUUCUUUUCUCCCAUAUUAAAGUACUACCCCUAUGACUUUGUGCAGCAAAAGGUAAAUCCUGAUAUCAUUUACUUGUUUACAACCAAUCAUUUUAUUUCAGUGGGACCUGGAUCAGAGUAGGUGAGCAGAAUGGAACCAUUUGAAAUCCAGGGCAUAGCUCAUGGAGCUGUGCUCUCGCACAACUCCUGCUCUCCACUUCCUUUCCAACACUCUCUCUGCUAAAAUCCGCUCUGCACUCACAAGAAUUUUAACAAAAACGCAUGCAUUUUUGUGACUACCUGGACCUACCAUUUGUAUUGAAACACAAUCAAAUGAUUUUAAUAAAAAUUAUUUGAAUUAACAUGAAAAGGUGAAUGUAAGAAGGGCACAUCAUUUAAAAUAGGCCACAUGUCAUAUUAAACAGCAUAUAAACACUGUAAAUAGGUCAAAAGCCAGAAACACAAGUUUGGCCAGUCUGUGGCUUCAGGCUCAUGCAAUGGUGCACGGAGAGCAGGCCAGUAGCAGAGAAUAUCCUCUCCAAACUUGCACACUUUUUCUUUAGGUCGUUCUAAAGGUUUUUAGGAAAAAUAACCCAAUCAAAAUGAAAAGCUCCUUGAAUGCC
Long non-coding RNA from Oncorhynchus mykiss (rainbow trout), 2424 nucleotides. Lineage: Eukaryota; Metazoa; Chordata; Actinopteri; Salmoniformes; Salmonidae. The record is from Ensembl.